UACAAAGAACUUGGCGGUGCUGCGAAUUCGUUUAGGGGAGUUUGGCGGUUAAUUCGAUGAACCACGUGUACUUCACCUUGUUAAUAUUUUCUAUACAGCCGUUGGUAGUCAUCUUUUAAGAAGAAUGGCGAAGCUCUUUAAUGAAGAGAAAUUCAGGUAAAUGUGGAGGUUAUAACAAGGGCUCAGCUGAGCUACAAUCCGAUGCGGACAUGAGCGCCCAUUUGAAAAAGUGGGUAAUAAGUGGACUUAACAGUAAAAAAUUUGCAGAAGAGAUUUUUGAACUGUGGAUCGCGGCGCGUACAAACCGCCCAACACUUCCGUAUUUAAAAACUGGGAUAAGUCGUAACAUGGUAGGAGUAA
This 360-nucleotide ribosomal RNA is filed under the name Cerastoderma edule. RNAcentral describes it as "partial 12S ribosomal RNA". Lineage: Eukaryota; Metazoa; Mollusca; Bivalvia; Cardiida; Cardiidae. The record is from RNAcentral.